AUUGAACGCUGGCGGCAGGCCUAACACAUGCAAGUCGAGCGGUAACAGGGGUAGCUUGCUACCCGCUGACGAGCGGCGGACGGGUGAGUAAUGCAUAGGAAUCUGCCCGGUAGUGGGGGAUAACCUGGGGAAACCCAGGCUAAUACCGCAUACGUCCUACGGGAGAAAGGGGGCUCCGGCUCCCGCUAUUGGAUGAGCCUAUGUCGGAUUAGCUAGUUGGUGAGGUAAAGGCUCACCAAGGCAACGAUCCGUAGCUGGUCUGAGAGGAUGAUCAGCCACAUCGGGACUGAGACACGGCCCGAACUCCUACGGGAGGCAGCAGUGGGGAAUAUUGGACAAUGGGGGCAACCCUGAUCCAGCCAUGCCGCGUGUGUGAAGAAGGCCUUCGGGUUGUAAAGCACUUUCAGCGAGGAAGAACGCCUAGUGGUUAAUACCCAUUAGGAAAGA
Molecule: ribosomal RNA, 447 nt
Filed under: Halomonas sp.
Lineage: Bacteria; Pseudomonadati; Pseudomonadota; Gammaproteobacteria; Oceanospirillales; Halomonadaceae
Description: bacterial SSU rRNA
Rfam family: Bacterial small subunit ribosomal RNA
Source: RNAcentral